CUACGGAGGGUGCAAGCGUUAUCCGGAAUCACUGGGUUUAAAGGGUGCGUAGGCGGUUAUGUAAGUCAGGGGUGAAAGGUCACAGCUUAACUGUGAGAUUGCCUUUGAAACUGUGUAACUUGAAUCAGAUAGAGGUUAGUGGAAUGCGACAUGUAGCGGUGAAAUGCAUAGAUAUGUCGUGGAAUACCGAUUGCGAAGGCAGCUAACUGGGUCUUGAUUGACGCUGAGGCACGAAAGCGUGGGGAGCGAACAGGAUUAGAUACCCUGGUAGUCCACGCCCUAAACGAUGUUAACUCGAUGUUUGUCCGUACGGAUGAGCGUUUAAGGGAAACCGAUAAGUUAACCACCUGGGGAGUGCGUUCGCAAGAAUGAA
RNAcentral lists this ribosomal RNA (373 nucleotides) under uncultured bacterium. RNAcentral describes it as "bacterial SSU rRNA". It matches the Rfam family "Bacterial small subunit ribosomal RNA", at positions 523 to 898 of the family's 1533-position model. The record is from RNAcentral.